RNAcentral lists this unclassified non-coding RNA (214 nucleotides) under Hevea brasiliensis (rubber tree). Lineage: Eukaryota; Viridiplantae; Streptophyta; Magnoliopsida; Malpighiales; Euphorbiaceae. The record is from RNAcentral.
UCCACUCACAAUGAAGACAACAUUUUUUGCAUCUGCACAAAGGAUGUUAAGGAUAGAGAUAACCUGCUCACUCGGUGACUUAUUUAUGGAGUUUUGAGGCAUCACAGUGCCAUCAUAGUCCAACAGAAUAGCCCGACUUUCAGCUCUACUGUAAGAUGAUACAAUGGCAUCUACUGAAAGUUUUCUGAAAUUGGGAUCAAGAGCUACAACCCUG